UAGGGCCCAACUGACCCACCGCUUGAGAAACUUAGUGAGAAGGAGGAAGUUUCCAUCCAAGUCCCAGUACUAAUUUCCAAACCCGCAGAAACGUAAGGAACUGGGAAGCGUGUGACACAUUUCCGAGCAUUUGCUCUAGAAGCCCAUGUUUUUAGUUUAAGUCUCUUUAGGCCCUAAAUCAAGCAGAAAAAGCCAACACCUUCUAGAUUGAAAAAGACACAAACUAUUUCUUCACAUUUAAAAAUAACCCGUCAUUGUUUUCUUAUGCCCAUCUAUAUCUGCUGCUGAAGUGUUUGUAGAAGCUGUACAGUUUUUUGCUGUUAGAAAAGAAGAGAUAUGGGGCUGCCCAAGUUUUAUCUCCUACCUUUGUUGCUUCUGAUUGUUGUUUUUGCAUCAAAGAAAUCUUCAGCUGUUGAAGCAAGGCCACUUUCCAUCUUGCCACAACAAGGAUAUGCAAACGUUUUUUCAACACUUGGAAUUGCUUGCGAGUGCUGUGAUGGAGCUGGAGGUGAAUGCACAAGUACAUGGACUGAGCCUUGCACUAGCCUCAAAUGUCUUCCUUGGAAACAUUAUUAACUUGUUCUUCUUCUCUUUCCAGUUGUAUUUUCUACUACUUCUCUUGCUUUUCUCUCUGUUUACAGUAGCAUCCACAGAUUAUUAGCGUACGGACAUUCGAAUGAGAGAAUAAAUAUAUAUAUAUAUAUAUACUAGUGGAAUUAUAUUAGAGUUUCUUC
This is a long non-coding RNA of Prunus avium (sweet cherry), 734 nucleotides long. RefSeq lists it as uncharacterized. The record is from RefSeq and is a predicted model, not a curated record. NCBI's taxonomy places the organism in Eukaryota, Viridiplantae, Streptophyta, Magnoliopsida, Rosales, Rosaceae.